UCAGACGAUGCGUCAUGCAUAUCAAUAAGCGGAGGAAAAGAAACUAACAAGGAUUCCCUUAGUAACGGCGAGUGAAGCGGGAAGAGCUCAAAUUUGAAAUCUUCAAGGUUUUACCUUGACGAAUUGUAGUUUAAAGAAGUGUUUUCUGUUGAAGUUUUGGUAAAAGUUCUUUGGAAUAGGACAUCAUAGAGGGUGAGAAUCCCGUAUUUGACCAUUAUUUUCAGCUGUGUGAUACACUUUCAAAGAGUCGGAUUGUUUGGGAAUGCAGUCCAAAAUGGGUGGUAAAUUUCAUCUAAAGCUAAAUAUUGGCGAGAGACCGAUAGCGAACAAGUACCGUGAGGGAAAGAUGAAAAGAACUUUGAAAAGAGAGUUAAACAGUACGUGAAAUUGUCAAAAGGGAAGCGUUUGACACCAGUGUUGUUUUCUCGAAAAUCAAUUAAAAAUGAGUUAGAUUUUGUAUGUGUAUUGACCUUAACAGCUUCACUGUGCAUUUUUCGUGUCUUUUUUAAUGCACUUUUCGUUUAACAAGUCAACAUCAGUUUCUUUUGUUGUAAAGGAGGUCACUGGAAGGUGGCUUUCUUUUCGGAGAAAGUGUUUAUAGCCUUUGACUCCUGCAAUCGGAGAGACUGAGGUCUGCAGCGUAGAUCCUUCGGGGUUAGAUACAUUUGUGCUAAGUUAUAGCUUUUUAUAGACAACUUGUUGACUAUGAUUAGUCUUGUAGCUUACUCGCUUAUGCUAUUUUACCUACGCUUAGGAUGUUGAGUCGUAGAGCACGCAG
RNAcentral lists this ribosomal RNA (778 nucleotides) under uncultured Neocallimastigales. RNAcentral's name for it is "partial large subunit ribosomal RNA". It matches the Rfam family "Eukaryotic large subunit ribosomal RNA", at positions 18 to 634 of the family's 3401-position model. Lineage: Eukaryota; Fungi; Neocallimastigomycota; Neocallimastigomycetes; Neocallimastigales. The record is from RNAcentral.